Molecule: long non-coding RNA, 1220 nt
Organism: Nomia melanderi (Alkali bee)
Lineage: Eukaryota; Metazoa; Arthropoda; Insecta; Hymenoptera; Halictidae
Source: RefSeq, a predicted model, not a curated record
CAGUCCCCUCCGGCGUUGGCGGUGUCCGUGGCGACGUUGCUCGUUCCAACGGUGACUGGCAACACGCCAGUCGGCACCGGCAGUGUUCCACUCUCGAAGUAGUCCCAGUCACAGUCUUCGAGGGAUUGCGUGGGCCCAGCGCCGCGCGGCAACCCGUUCAGGAAAGAGGAGCUCGAGCAGCUGCUGUCCGCGUCGUCCUCCUCGCGACCGGAAGACGAGUCCGAACUGAUGAAGACUAGCCGCCUGUAAUCGAUGGCAGGCUGAUCCUGACCCUGACCGUUCCCGGUCGGACUCCGCUGUCUGCCACCACGGCCAAUCACGUGCAACGCCUGCAGACCCUGAAGCUCCUCCGCGCAACAGCUUCUCGCGUGUGAUCGUCCUCUUCGUCGCGAACCUGUUGAAUGCAAACGGUUUCGUGUGUGGAUCAGCCUGCUCUUUUUUCUUUCCUUCGUUCCGCAGUGCUCGAUACGUUCGAUAAGAUCGGAGGAAAAGAACGGGCAGCGACAACCGGCGCGGUUGUCGACUUAUCGCUGGAUUAUCGAUACCGAUGCAGAUGUUAUCACCGCGGAUAGAGAUAGCGGGCUAGGAGAUCGCGAUCCUGUGGUCGAUUGGAACACGAUAGUGGCGCAGUGGGACAGAGUUCGCUGUUACUCGAAUAAAAUAUCGAGUAAACUUUUCCUAAUACUGUGUACAGGUCCAGUACUUCGGGCAUUUUAUGUACUUUAAGAAUAUUUUUAUUCUUUAUCUGAGAUAUAUCGUUGACGAUCUAAAAAAUCAGUUGAAUUUUCUGCGGACCGUUACGAAAAGCAGCAGAAAGAGAAACAAUGUGUAUAACCGAGUAUUUACGAGGUAAGAGAAUGGGUGGCCCAUCGCCUAUGCUGUUUCCCGCUAGUGAAUUAUUAAAGGUUCAAAAGACAGUCAAGAGUAAGUUGGAAGGUUGCACACGUGUCGAUCAAUGACACACAUAGGGGUUCUCGGAGGAAGAGAAAGGGCUGCAAUAAUCGAUAAAAGGAAGGUCACGUUUCAUGUUUUCCCAAGAAAAUAGUUUUAUUUGCUACUUUUCUGACGAAAACCGAAUGCGAUAGAAUACCAUACAAGUUUGCGAAAUAUACGGUGCGAAUUUUAACCCUUUGCACUCAAAAGUUUCUCAAUGGAAAUAUUCAACAUUUUCUAACGAGAUAUAGUUUGAAACUAAUUUAUCGAUAAUUCAUAGAUAAAUU